AUUGGCUGACGAAACUAGGUUCAUGGAUCUUGCAGUUCAUAGUUAAAAUAUAGCUACAUAUUAAAGCAUGUUAGUGAUUUACAAAUUGUGUACUACAUUGGCUGACGAAACUAGGUGCAUGGAUCUUGCAGUACAUAGUAAAAAGGGAUAUCUUCAUAUAGUAUACAUUCUUCAUCUUGAUCAGGUAUAAAAGUUUUGUAUGUUAUGUUUGUUAAUAAUAAUUUUGUUAUAGCUCUCAACUCCUGUGAAUAAUCUUGACUUUUGGACUUGUCUUUUUAUUUCAUUAUUUCAACUUAGCUCCUGAUUUUUUCCUUGAUUGUCAAUUUCCUCAUUGAGCAUUGAACUGAGUUGAAAAAGAUUGAUUUUCUCAAUCUUCAAAAUAUCAAGUUAGUUUUCAUUUUUAUAAGAUACAACGAAUGCGUUAAACAAAAAUCCAAGCACAAACUCUUGAACAUUGGUCAUAUUUCAGUGACUCGAAAGAGUCCACUAUGUUGGACGUUGUUGAAUGUCAAAAUUUGAAAAAGAAAUAUUUUUCAAAAUAAGUUGAUUUUAGAAAUUUGAUCAAACAAGUUAUUAAUGUGUAGAUGUUGUCUGAUGGGAUUGUGGUGUGAAAUUUACCUAAAUUUUUUUCUAAAUAAGUGAUCUUUUACUAAAUUUAUUUGUUGUGUUGUGAGUAUUCACUUUGAUUUUACAAUAUCAUGUUUUGUGUACUUUCUUAUUAUAGUAUUCAGGGUAAUGGUGAGAUUGACGAGGAUGUCACGCAUUGUAUUAGAGCAGGAUGGUUGAAAUGGAG
This 793-nucleotide long non-coding RNA is filed under the name Capsicum annuum. RNAcentral's name for it is "long non-coding RNA (CANN_LNC006984)". Lineage: Eukaryota; Viridiplantae; Streptophyta; Magnoliopsida; Solanales; Solanaceae. The record is from RNAcentral.